UACGUAGGUGACAAGCGUUGUCCGGAUUUACUGGGCGUAAAGAGCGCGCAGGCGGUCGUUCAAGUCGAGUGUGAAAGCCCCCGGCUCAACUGGGGAGGGUCAUUCGAUACUGAUCGACUCGAAGGCAGGAGAGGGUAGUGGAAUUCCCGGUGUAGUGGUGAAAUGCGUAGAUAUCGGGAGGAACACCAGUGGCGAAGGCGACUACCUGGCCUGUUCUUGACGCUGAGGCGCGAAAGCUAGGGGAGCAAACGGGAUGAGAAACCCCCGUAGUCC
RNAcentral lists this ribosomal RNA (273 nucleotides) under uncultured bacterium. Its description in RNAcentral is "partial 16S ribosomal RNA". It matches the Rfam family "Bacterial small subunit ribosomal RNA", at positions 524 to 796 of the family's 1533-position model. The record is from RNAcentral.